UGGGGAAUAUUGCACAAUGGGCGAAAGCCUGAUGCAGCAACGCCGCGUGAAGGAUGAAGGCCUUUGGGUCGUAAACUUCUGUCCUUGGGGAAGAAAAAAAUGACGGUACCCCUGGAGGAAGUCCCGGCUAACUACGUGCCAGCAGCCGCGGUAAUACGUAGGGGGCGAGCGUUAUCCGGAAUUAUUGGGCGUAAAGAGUACGUAGGUGGUUUUUUAAGCGCAGGGUUUAAGGCGAUGGCUCAACUGUCGUUCGCCCUGUGAACUGGAAGACUUGAGUACAGGAGAGGAAAGCGGAAUUCCUAGUGUAGCGGUGAAAUGCAUAGAUAUUAGGAGGAACACCAGUGGCGAAGGCGGCUUUCUGGACUGUAACUGACACUGAGGUACGAAAGCGUGGGGAGCAAACA
Molecule: ribosomal RNA, 404 nt
Filed under: uncultured prokaryote
Description: bacterial SSU rRNA
Rfam family: Bacterial small subunit ribosomal RNA
Source: RNAcentral